UAGUAUCGGACAAACUUCGGUUCUGGUUCCAGCCCUAAAUUUUGUGCAAUUAUUUAUUAAAAAUAAGCAACGACGUGAGCGAACGACACGACCCACGAACGAAGGCAACGAAAUGGCAACGCGCGGCGGACCAAUAGUCGCGGGCACCGAUGGCACCGACUUCGAGUUCAGGCAGCGCGUAGCUGGCACAUAUCAAAUUAGCCUGCUAAACAAGUCCAGGUUGAAGUACUGCAUAUUCUUUCACGCCCUGCUCUUCUUCGUGAUGCUGGCCAAGCUAACGUCGGACAUCCUUGACCGCCUAGAUAUCUUUGUGCUCGAGAUCGAGGAGCUGGAGGUCCCACCGCCCCUGUGGUGGGAGUACGUGUGGGCCGCGUCGUUGCUCACAUCCUUCCUGGGGCUUUCGGCCGCAAGGGCCAACAAGGUGCGCGAAAUGCAAAAGUAUAUGAUUGCCAUCCUGCUAUUCGCCAUCCUGCCGCUCUUCUACUGCUUCGCCUACUACUUCUCUGACGUGUGGGAGUUCGCCACGCUGGACAAGUCGGUAGAGCUGGACGAGACUGACAUCUUUGUGUGGCGCGGCUAUCCGUACGGUGUGUUCUGGUACGCCUUUUGCUUUGUGGGCUUCCAGGUGCACGGGUUUACGCUGUACUUCGCCUACAAUCUGGUCAAGGCCUGGAAGGCCAGAACUGCCACGCGCAAGUUCCAGUAAUCUAAAUACUCGCCAAACUAGUAAACGCCGGAAAGCAGGGCUAGUUGUAAAUAAUUUGGAAACUUGAAACUAACUCAAAACACUAGUGCACAAAAGCGUAAUGAAACUAUGAUAAAUCUAAAGUUAUGCAGCUGUUAAGGUAUCGCACACUUAGUUAUACAGGAAGGGUAACAUAUGGUCGAAACUAAACGAAGCGGCGACAUAUAUACACACACGCAGCCUUGUGAGGUCAACUAAAGACAAGAAGCAACUGAAGCCACCAAAUUUCCCCGAGUCGGAAUAAAAACUGAAAACCAACCUAGAGAUCACUUCAUUUUUGCUGACUUACAUUUCGACGUGCCUCGUGUUUGUUAGAAACGUUUUAUAUAUAUUUACACAUGAAAAUAUGCGUACAUCAGUCUAUGUUUACGUCCGCGGAUGGUUACUUCCUCGCUUAGUUGAUAAUUAGUUCACUUUUCAACAAAUUUCGAAACCGUUUCAUUUUUGCAAUUACAUUAAUUUUGAAUUUUAUUCAUUGAACUGCACAGUGCCAUGCUGUAAGUCGGGUGGCGAAUGUUUAAAAACUGCCCCAAACUAUUUACAACUUUCUGUCACUGUUUACACACUACUAUAAAUAAGGAUUCAAA
Molecule: unclassified non-coding RNA, 1332 nt
Filed under: Drosophila yakuba
Lineage: Eukaryota; Metazoa; Arthropoda; Insecta; Diptera; Drosophilidae
Description: GE10162
Source: RNAcentral